GGUCCAAUAGUGUAGAGGUUAACAUGCACAAUGGCUUGAUGAUAGAAAACAUACGUCCCUCCGUGAGAUCCAGGUCCGAGUCCUGGUUGGACCG
Non-coding RNA from Rhodocollybia butyracea, 94 nucleotides. The record is from the annotation of a GenBank genome assembly. Lineage: Eukaryota; Fungi; Basidiomycota; Agaricomycetes; Agaricales; Omphalotaceae.